GACACGCUCCUUAGAUCCACCUCUAGAGGCUGGGCCUGGCCCACUCCUCAGCAGCCUGUGGCUGUACAGUUGGAGGUGCUUGAGUCAUUGGCGUGUUAAAGCAGUCCACCUGUUCCCCAGCCCAGGGCCCUAAUGGCCUCUGUCUGAGAGGCAGGUCACACCAGUGGGGCCAGUCUGGGAGAUGGACAGA
This 190-nucleotide small nucleolar RNA is filed under the name Periophthalmus magnuspinnatus. Its description in RNAcentral is "Small nucleolar RNA SNORA53 (ENSPMGG00000007344.1)". It matches the Rfam family "Small nucleolar RNA SNORA53". From Rfam's summary of the family: The snoRNA ACA53 belongs to the H/ACA family of pseudouridylation guide snoRNAs. Lineage: Eukaryota; Metazoa; Chordata; Actinopteri; Gobiiformes; Gobiidae. The record is from RNAcentral.